Molecule: ribosomal RNA, 468 nt
Filed under: uncultured bacterium
Lineage: Bacteria
Description: partial 16S ribosomal RNA
Rfam family: Bacterial small subunit ribosomal RNA
Source: RNAcentral
GACGAACGCUGGCGGCGUGCUUAACACAUGCAAGUCGAACGGAAAGGCCCGGCUUUUGUGGGGUGCUCGAGUGGCGAAGGGGGGAGUAACACGUGAGUAACCUGCCCUUGACUUUGGGAUAACUUUAGGAAACUGGGGCUAAUACCGGAUAGGAGCUCCUGCUGCAUGGUGGGGGUUGGAGAGUUUGGGCGGUGGGGGCUGGACUCGCUGGUUAUCAGCUUGUUUGGGGGGUAGUGGUGUACCAAGGCUUCGACGGGUAGGCUGCCUGGGAGGGUGGACGGGCACAUUGGGACUACGGUACGGCCCAGACUCCUACGGGAGGCAGCGGUGGGGAAUAUUGCACAAUGGGCGGAAGCCUGAUGCAGAGACGUCGCGUGCGGGAUGCCGGCCUUCGGGUUGUAAACCGCUUUCGACUGUGACGAAGCGUGAGUGACGGUACCGGGUCAAGAAGCACCGGCUAACUACGUG